Molecule: transfer RNA, 69 nt
Filed under: Tarsipes rostratus (honey possum)
Lineage: Eukaryota; Metazoa; Chordata; Mammalia; Diprotodontia; Tarsipedidae
Description: transfer RNA-Arg
Source: RNAcentral
AGGCUUUUAAUCUAACUAAGAUGAUUGAUUUCGGCUCAAUAUAUCAUGGUAUUAACCCAUGACUGCCUU